Molecule: ribosomal RNA, 1372 nt
Filed under: Corynebacterium afermentans
Lineage: Bacteria; Bacillati; Actinomycetota; Actinomycetes; Mycobacteriales; Corynebacteriaceae
Description: partial 16S ribosomal RNA
Rfam family: Bacterial small subunit ribosomal RNA
Source: RNAcentral
CAUGCAGUCGACGGAAGGCCCACAUGCUUGCUUGGGUACUCGAGUGGCGAACGGGUGUAGUAACACGUGGGUGAUCUGCCCUGCACUUCGGGAUAAGCCUGGGAAACUGGGUCUAAUACCGGAUAGGACCGCAUUUUGGAUGGUGUGGUGGAAAGUUUUUUCGGGGGGGAAGAACUUCCGGGCCAUCCACUUGGUGGGGGGGGAAAGGGCCAACCAGGGCUCCAACGGGAACCCGGCCGGAAAGGUGGACCGGCCCCUUGGGAAUGGAAAUCCGGCCCAAAUCCCACCGGAAGGCACCAUGGGGAAUUUUGGCCCAUGGGCCCCAGCCUGAAGGCACCACCCCCCCUGGGGGAAUAACGGCCUUCGGUUGGAAACUCCUUUUCCUUAGGAACAAACCGUAUGUGACGGUACCUGGAGAAGAGCACCGGCUAACUACGUGCCAGCAGCCGCGGUAAUACGUAGGGUGCGAGCGUUGUCCGGAUUACUGGGCGUAAGAGCUCGUAGGUGGUUGUCGCGUCGUUGUGUAAGCCGCAGCUUACUGCGGAACUGCAGCGAUACGGGGCAUAAUCUUGAAGUGGCUGGUAAGGGGAGACCUGGAAAUUCCUGGGUGUAGCGGGUGGAAUGCGCCAGAUAUUCAGGGAGGGAACACCGAUGGCGAAAGGCAGGUCUCUGGCCAGUAAUUGACGCUGAGAGCGGAAAAGCCAUGGGGUAGCGACCAGGGAUUAGAUACCCUGGUAGUCCCAUCCCCGUAAACGGUGGGCGCUAGGUGUAAGUCCCUUCCACGGGGGUUCGUGCCGUAGCUAACGCAUUAAGCGCCCCGCUUGAGGAGUACGGCCGCAAGGGCUUUGAAUUCAAAGGAAUUGAGGGGGGCCCGCCCAAGCGGGGGAGCAUGUGGAUUAUUUCGAUGCAACGCGAAGACCCUUCCCUGGGCUUGACAUACACCAGUCCGGGCCAGAGAUGGUCUUUCCCUUUGGGGUUGGGGUCCAGGGGGGCCAUGGUUGUCUUCAGCUCGGUUCGUGAGAUGUUGGGUUAAGUCCCCCAACGAGGCCAACCCUUUUUUUAUGUUGCCACCAAUUGGGGUGGGGACUCGUGAGAGACUGCCGGGGUUAACUCGGAGGAAGGUGGGGAUGACGUCAAAUCAUCAUGCCCCUUAUGUCCAGGGCUUCACACAUGCUACAAUGGUCGGUACAACGCGUUUUGGGACCCUGGGGGGGGAAGUUAAUCGCGGUAAAGCCGGUCGUAGUUCGGAUUGGGGUUUGCAACUCGACCCCAUGAAGUCGGAGUCGCUAGUAAUCGCAGAUCAGCAACGCUGCGGUGAAUACGUUCCCGGGCCUUCCCUCACUUCCCCCCGUCACGUCAUGAAAGUUGGUAA